UACGAAGGGGGCUAGCGUUGCUCGGGAUUACUGGGCGUAAAGCGCACGUCGGCGGACUUUUAAGUCGGGGGUGAAAUCCUGGAGCUCAACUCCAGAACUGCCUUCGAAACUGAAAGUCUUGAGUUCGGGAGAGGUGAGUGGAACUGCGAGUGUAGAGGUGAAAUUCGUAGAUAUUCGCAAGAACUCCAGUGGCUAAGGCGGCUCACGGGCCCGAUACUGACGCUGAGGUGCGAAAGCGUUUUGAGCAAACAGG
RNAcentral lists this ribosomal RNA (253 nucleotides) under uncultured bacterium. RNAcentral describes it as "partial 16S ribosomal RNA". It matches the Rfam family "Bacterial small subunit ribosomal RNA", at positions 524 to 776 of the family's 1533-position model. The record is from RNAcentral.